AGGGGUAGUGCUCAGUGAUAGAGCGCUUGCUUAGCACGCCUGAGGUCCUGGGUUCAAUCCCUAGUACCUCCA
RNAcentral lists this transfer RNA (72 nucleotides) under Camelus ferus (Wild Bactrian camel). It matches the Rfam family "tRNA". Rfam says of the family: Transfer RNA (tRNA) molecules are approximately 80 nucleotides in length. Their secondary structure includes four short double-helical elements and three loops (D, anti-codon, and T loops). Further hydrogen bonds mediate the characteristic L-shaped molecular structure. tRNAs have two regions of fundamental functional importance: the anti-codon, which is responsible for specific mRNA codon recognition, and the 3' end, to which the tRNAs corresponding amino acid is attached (by aminoacyl-tRNA synthetases). tRNAs cope with the degeneracy of the genetic code in two manners: having more than one tRNA (with a specific anti-codon) for a particular amino acid; and 'wobble' base-pairing, i.e. permitting non-standard base-pairing at the 3rd anti-codon position. The record is from Rfam by way of RNAcentral. Lineage: Eukaryota; Metazoa; Chordata; Mammalia; Artiodactyla; Camelidae.